RNAcentral lists this ribosomal RNA (293 nucleotides) under uncultured bacterium. Its description in RNAcentral is "partial 16S ribosomal RNA". It matches the Rfam family "Archaeal small subunit ribosomal RNA", at positions 455 to 747 of the family's 1478-position model. The record is from RNAcentral.
GUGCCAGCCGCCGCGGUAAUACCGGCAGCCCGAGUGAUGGCCGAUCUUAUUGGGCCUAAAGCGUCCGUAGCUGGCCGCGCAAGUCCAUCGGAAAAUCCACCCGCCCAACGGGUGGGCGUCCGGUGGAAACUGCGUUGCUUGGGACCGGAAGGCGCGACGGGUACGUCCGGGGUAGGAGUGAAAUCCCGUAGUCCUGGACGGACCGCCGAUGGCGAAAGCACGUCGCGAAGACGGAUCCGACAGUGAGGGACGAAAGCUAGGGUCUCGAACCGGAUUAGAUACCCGGGUAGUCC